UACAGAGGUCUCGAGCGUUAGGCGGAAUCACUGGGCUUAAAGCGUGUGUAGGUGGAUGCCUAAGUACCUUGUGAAAUCCCACGGCUUAACCGUGGAACUGCUUGGUAUACUGGGUGUCUUGAGUCACUCAGGGGCGAGCGGAACAAAUGGUGGAGCGGUGAAAUGCGUAGAUAUCAUUUGGAACGCCAAUGGUGGAAACAGCUCGCUGGGGGUGCACUGACACUGAGACACGAAAGCCAGGGGAGCGAACGGG
This 253-nucleotide ribosomal RNA is filed under the name uncultured bacterium. RNAcentral describes it as "partial 16S ribosomal RNA". It matches the Rfam family "Bacterial small subunit ribosomal RNA", at positions 524 to 776 of the family's 1533-position model. The record is from RNAcentral.